UGCAGUCGAACGUGAAAGCACUUCGGUGUGAGUAGAGUGGCGGACGGGUGAGUAACGCGUGGGAAUCUACCCAGUAGUGGGGGACAACUACCGGAAACGGUAGCUAAUACCGCAUACGCCCUAUGGGGGAAAGGCUUCGGCCGCUAUUGGAUGAGCCCGCGUCAGAUUAGCUAGUUGGUAGGGUAAAGGCCUACCAAGGCGACGAUCUUUAACUGGUCUGAGAGGAUGACCAGUCACACUGGGACUGAGACACGGCCCAGACUCCUACGGGAGGCAGCAGUGGGGAAUAUUGGACAAUGGGCGGAAGCCUGAUCCAGCCAUGCCGCGUGUGUGAAGAAGGCCUUAGGGUUGUAAAGCACUUUCAGGGGUGAGGAAGGGUAGCUAGUUAAUACCUAGUUAUCUUGACGUUAGCCCCAGAAGAAGCACCGGCUAACUCCGUGCCAGCAGCCGCGGUAAUACAGAGGGUGC
This 468-nucleotide ribosomal RNA is filed under the name uncultured Gammaproteobacteria bacterium. RNAcentral's name for it is "bacterial SSU rRNA". It matches the Rfam family "Bacterial small subunit ribosomal RNA", at positions 56 to 535 of the family's 1533-position model. The record is from RNAcentral. Lineage: Bacteria; Pseudomonadati; Pseudomonadota; Gammaproteobacteria.